AUUCACAAUCCAAUGCAUUUGACUAAUGAUAAGAGUUUG
This 39-nucleotide small RNA is filed under the name Arabidopsis thaliana (thale cress). RNAcentral's name for it is "ATSL035790". The record is from RNAcentral. Lineage: Eukaryota; Viridiplantae; Streptophyta; Magnoliopsida; Brassicales; Brassicaceae.